UACGGGGGGGGCAAGCGUUGUUCGGAAUUACUGAGCGUAAAGGGCUCGUAGGCGGCCAACUAAGUCAGACGUGAAAUCCCUCGGCUUAACCGGGGAACUGCGUCUGAUACUGGAUGGCUUGAGUUUGGGAGAGGGAUGCGGAAUUCCAGGUGUAGCGGUGAAAUGCGUAGAUAUCUGGAGGAACACCGGUGGCGAAGGCGGCUCUCUGGAACGCAACUGACGCUGAGACGCGAAAGCGUGGGGAGCAAACAGG
This 253-nucleotide ribosomal RNA is filed under the name uncultured bacterium. RNAcentral's name for it is "partial 16S ribosomal RNA". It matches the Rfam family "Bacterial small subunit ribosomal RNA", at positions 524 to 776 of the family's 1533-position model. The record is from RNAcentral.